UUUAUAUCAAUUAAGCGGAGGAAAAGAAACCAACAGGGAUUGCCCUAGUAACGGCGAGUGAAGCGGCAACAGCUCAAAUUUGAAAUCUGGCUCUUUCAGAGUCCGAGUUGUAAUUUGCAGAGGGCGCUUUGGCUUUGGCAGCGGUCCAAGUUCCUUGGAACAGGACGUCACAGAGGGUGAGAAUCCCGUACGUGGUCGCUAGCUAUUGCCGUGUAAAGCCCCUUCGACGAGUCGAGUUGUUUGGGAAUGCAGCUCUAAAUGGGAGGUAAAUUUCUUCUAAAGCUAAAUAUUGGCCAGAGACCGAUAGCGCACAAGUAGAGUGAUCGAAAGAUGAAAAGCACUUUGGAAAGAGAGUCAAACAGCACGUGAAAUUGUUGAAAGGGAAGCGCUUGCAGCCAGACUUGCUUGCAGUUGCUCAUCCGGGCUUUUGCCCGGUGCACUCUUCUGUAGGCAGGCCAGCAUCAGUUUGGGCGGUGGGAUAAAGGUCUCUGUCACGUACCUCUCUUCGGGGAGGCCUUAUAGGGGAGACGACAUACCACCAGCCUAGACUGAGGUCCGCGCAUCUGCUAGGAUGCUGGCGUAAUGGCUGUAAGCGGCCCGUCUUGAAACAACGGACCACA
RNAcentral lists this ribosomal RNA (620 nucleotides) under Bipolaris maydis (southern corn leaf blight pathogen). RNAcentral describes it as "partial 26S ribosomal RNA". It matches the Rfam family "Eukaryotic large subunit ribosomal RNA", at positions 33 to 670 of the family's 3401-position model. Lineage: Eukaryota; Fungi; Ascomycota; Dothideomycetes; Pleosporales; Pleosporaceae. The record is from RNAcentral.